RNAcentral lists this ribosomal RNA (37 nucleotides) under Parmelina tiliacea. RNAcentral's name for it is "partial 18S ribosomal RNA". The record is from RNAcentral. Lineage: Eukaryota; Fungi; Ascomycota; Lecanoromycetes; Lecanorales; Parmeliaceae.
ACUUAAGCAUACCCNCUGAACCUGCGGAAGGAUCAUU